Molecule: signal recognition particle RNA, 300 nt
Filed under: Saimiri boliviensis boliviensis (Bolivian squirrel monkey)
Lineage: Eukaryota; Metazoa; Chordata; Mammalia; Primates; Cebidae
Description: Metazoan signal recognition particle RNA (ENSSBOG00000004108.1)
Rfam family: Metazoan signal recognition particle RNA
About the family: The signal recognition particle (SRP) is a universally conserved ribonucleoprotein.
Source: RNAcentral
GCCAGGCGCGGUGGCACGUGCCUUGUAGUCCCAGCUACUCAGGAGGCUGAGGUGGGAGGAUCGCUUGAGCCCAGGAGUUCAGGGCUGUAGUGCACUAUGCCCAUCAGGUGUCUGCACUAAGUUCGGCAUCAAUAUGGUGACCUCCCGGGAGCGGGGGACCACCAGGUUGCCUAAGGAGGGGUGAACCGGCCCAGGUCAGAAACAGAGCAGAUCAAAACUCCCGUGCUGAUCAGUAGUGGGAUCGUGCCUGUGAACAGCCACUGCACUCCAGCCCAGGCAACAUAGCGAGACCUCGUCUCU